CAGAAUAGUAAUAUCAAAGAAAAUCUUUUUAAUCACAUCACAAUAAUCGAAAGAGCACGACGUAAAAUACACUGGUGGCGUAUAAGACAGUUUUGGUUGUGUUGAUCGAAAUUUCACUUCUAAGUUACUCCAGUUGUCGCGCAGCCUGGCGAAUCUUUGGCACUAAUUGAAAAUCUGGACAUUUUUUCUUCAAGGGCUUGCAAGGAUUUGGCGGAUCGCACUGUGGUAUCUAUUAUAGUUAUUGUGGAUAAUGGAGUGAUUGUGCUGUGGGUGGCAUUUCAAAUGCAGGUGAUGAAAACGAUUGAAACAUCCCGGAACAAAACACCGCAUUUCACUGUCAAUAUUUUCGCAAACAGAACCAACUCUAAAUAUUUUCAUAAAAGCAACUCCCGGAACGUCAUUUGUUUAUGUUUUUUCUUAUUCACGUCUCUCUGUUAUUUCAAAAUAAAAUGACAACCGCACUAACACAUAGAAAAACGUGAUAACCAGGGUAUUUUACAUCGUGUCGAAAGAGAGAGUGAUUAACAGAGAUGCCAGAUAUUUUCAUAGAAAAUCUGUAUUGAUUCGAAUAAAAUAUCUGUAGGGUAACAGAGGUAUUUUGGCCACUUCAUAUAUUUUGGCCCACCUAACAAACUAUAUGGAUUCAAUCGAUCUUAGGUAACCCAUGUUGCAUCAGUUUGAAGCUAAUCACAUUAAAUUACCUAUUGCGGAAGGAUUUUUCAAAGAUAUUAAAACAUUUGGUGGAUAUUUUUACAAAGUGGGCCAAAAUAAAAUCGAUCCUAAAGCGGGCCAAAAUACCUCUGUUACCCUAUUUAUCUGUAUUCGCUAAUAAAAUGAAAUUUCUACAAUACAAUUAUGUUAAAAGGUGUUAUUCCAAUAGAUUAUGGCUAUAGAGUGGUAGAUUAAAUUUCAUAUCUUAUAUUAUAUUCAUCGACGAAAUUUUAUAGUUUUUUCCUAUCAACAAUAAUUGAAUUAUGGUGCCAUAUACUUGUCUAAUUUGAAAAUGUUCACUUCAUAAGUUGAGAUGGAUUUCCAAAACCCAAUAUGCAACGUCGAGUCAGGAAAUACAACUGUCAGUCUGGCAAUAAUGUUUCAUGACUAUCUAACUUUUAAGUUCAAUUUAGUUACAAAUUUUAAUAUAAAUGGAUUUCAGUGUUCUUCAUUAAAUAUCUGCACAAAAAAU
Long non-coding RNA from Malaya genurostris, 1183 nucleotides. RefSeq lists it as uncharacterized. The transcript is spliced from 3 exons. The record is from RefSeq and is a predicted model, not a curated record. NCBI's taxonomy places the organism in Eukaryota, Metazoa, Arthropoda, Insecta, Diptera, Culicidae.